RNAcentral lists this ribosomal RNA (272 nucleotides) under uncultured bacterium. RNAcentral describes it as "partial 16S ribosomal RNA". It matches the Rfam family "Bacterial small subunit ribosomal RNA", at positions 524 to 794 of the family's 1533-position model. The record is from RNAcentral.
UACGUAGGGUGCAAGCGUUAAUCGGAAUUACUGGGCGUAAAGCGUGCGCAGGCGGUUUUGUAAGACAGGCGUGAAAUCCCCGGGCUCAACCUGGGAAUGGCGCUUGUGGCUGCAAAGCUGGAGUGCGGCAGAGGGGGAGUGGAACUCCGCGUGUAGCAGUGAAAUGCGUAGAUAUGCGGAGGAACACCAGUGGCGAAGGCGGCCCUCUGGACUGCAACUGACGCUGAGACACGAAAGCGUGGGGAGCAAACAGGAUUAGAUACCCCUGUAGU